UCAACAGAGAGAAGCGAAGCCGCGAGGCGGAGCAAACCUCAGAAAAAUAGUCUCAGUUCGGAUCGCAGGCUGCAACCCGCCUGCGUGAAGCCGGAAUUGCUAGUAAUCGCGGAUCAGCAUGCCGCGGUGAAUACGUUCCCGGGCCUUGUACACACCGCCCGUCACACCAUGAGAGCCGGGGGGACCCGAAGUCCGUAGCCUAACCGAAAGGGGGGCGCGGCCGAAGGUAAAACUGGUGAUUGGGGUGAAGUCGUAACAAGGUACC
This 265-nucleotide ribosomal RNA is filed under the name uncultured bacterium. Its description in RNAcentral is "partial 16S ribosomal RNA". It matches the Rfam family "Bacterial small subunit ribosomal RNA", at positions 1236 to 1500 of the family's 1533-position model. The record is from RNAcentral.